GGUCGAUUAGCUCAGCUGGGAGAGCACCUCCCUUACAAGGAGGGGGUCACUGGUUCGAGCCCAGUAUCGACC
This 72-nucleotide transfer RNA is filed under the name Shewanella sp. 3_MG-2023. RNAcentral's name for it is "tRNA-Val". It matches the Rfam family "tRNA". From Rfam's summary of the family: Transfer RNA (tRNA) molecules are approximately 80 nucleotides in length. Lineage: Bacteria; Pseudomonadati; Pseudomonadota; Gammaproteobacteria; Alteromonadales; Shewanellaceae. The record is from RNAcentral. RNAcentral also lists the same sequence under 1 other name.